UAUGAACUGUGCAAACGUUAUUCGGAUUCACUGGGCUUAAAGGGUGCGUAGGCGGCCAUGUAAGUAGGGUGUGAAAUCCCCCGGCUUAACCGGGGAACUGCGCCCUAAACUGUAUGGCUGGAGUGAGAUAGGGGUGUGUGGAACUUCCGGUGGAGCGGUGAAAUGUGUUGAUAUCGGAAGGAACGCCGGUGGCGAAAGCGACACACUGGGUCUCAACUGACGCUGAGGCACGAAAGCCAGGGGAGCGAACGGG
RNAcentral lists this ribosomal RNA (253 nucleotides) under uncultured bacterium. RNAcentral's name for it is "partial 16S ribosomal RNA". It matches the Rfam family "Bacterial small subunit ribosomal RNA", at positions 524 to 776 of the family's 1533-position model. The record is from RNAcentral.